AUUGAACGCUGGCGGCAUGCUUUACACAUGCAAGUCGAACGGCCGCGGGGAGGAGCUUGCUUCUCUGCCGGCGAGUGUCGAACGGGUGAGUAAUACUACGGAACGUGUCGAGAAGAGGGGGAUAACCACCCGCAAGGGUGGCUAAUACCGCAUAAAUCCUGAGGUAGAAAGCUGCGUACCUGUGAAUAGGCCUAGCGCAUUUUGAGCCGCCGAUGUCGGAUUAGCUUGUUGGGGAGGUAAAGGCUCACCAAGGCGAAGAUCGGCAGCGGGACAGAGAGGAUGAUCCGCCACACGGGAACUGGAAAACGGCCCAGACUCCUACGGGAGGCAGCGGUGGGGAAUUUUGGACAAUGGGGGCAACCCGGAUCCAGACAUGCCGCGUGUAUGAAGAAGGCCUUAGGGUUGUAAAGUAUGUUUGUUAGGGAAGAAAAGUCAGCUGUGAAUAAUGGCUGAUACUGACGGUACCUAAAGAAUAAGCACCGGCUAACUACGUG
RNAcentral lists this ribosomal RNA (494 nucleotides) under uncultured bacterium. RNAcentral's name for it is "partial 16S ribosomal RNA". It matches the Rfam family "Bacterial small subunit ribosomal RNA", at positions 30 to 507 of the family's 1533-position model. The record is from RNAcentral.